Long non-coding RNA from Emys orbicularis (European pond turtle), 229 nucleotides. RefSeq lists it as uncharacterized. The record is from RefSeq and is a predicted model, not a curated record. Lineage: Eukaryota; Metazoa; Chordata; Testudines; Emydidae. The transcript is spliced from 3 exons.
AUGUUUGCGGGAAGCCUGAAACAAGCAGCAGGCACGCAGUUAUUCCAAGAACAUCCUGUUACACAGCUCUACUACAACACAAUACACUGUUACACAAACUAGUCACAAGCAGAGGUGCUGUCCUGCGACCAGAAUUGGGCAAAACUACCCCUGGAUGAAGUUCUCCUUAUGUACCGCUUUUUCAUGCAAAAAGGUAUGCAUACAAAACACUGGUACAAGACAGCACCGA